GGGCGACAAGAGGAUGAAAUUAACAGUGGGCAGGACACAUGAACAUUUUUGCAUCGAGUGUGCUAUAAAAAUUAUUGAUUCAGAUAUUGCUAAAUUAAAGGCUUUACGUGAAGCAUUGUUGAGUGAAUGAAGUUUCGUUAGUACACUCAUGAACCUGUUCAGUCUUUGGGGAGGUAUUAUUUCGUAAUCAGCAAACUUCUUGUGUUGUACAACCUAGUAACCAGUGAGGCUCUACCACUGUAUCGGCCCGUGUGCCGUGGAUAGGGCUCAACUUCAACGGGCUACGCCGGAGGCCUCCGCCUGGGGCCAAUGGAAGAAGAUCAAUCAGGCUAGGUAACGGGUCAGCGCGUCGCUCCGCGAAUCCGGUACCGAAACUCAAAUGAGUGACUGCGCUCGGAGAUGCUUAUGUAUCGCUGUUUUCGGACGGGGGUUCGAAUCCCCCCGCCUCCACCA
RNAcentral lists this transfer-messenger RNA (453 nucleotides) under Brevibacillus borstelensis. It matches the Rfam family "transfer-messenger RNA", at positions 75 to 374 of the family's 374-position model. Rfam says of the family: Bacterial tmRNA, also known as 10Sa RNA or SsrA, is named for its dual tRNA and mRNA-like properties. Its role is to liberate the mRNA from a stalled ribosome. The record is from RNAcentral. Lineage: Bacteria; Bacillati; Bacillota; Bacilli; Caryophanales; Paenibacillaceae.